Capsicum annuum is the source of this 2288-nucleotide RNA transcript. RefSeq lists it as uncharacterized. The transcript has 6 exons. NCBI's taxonomy places the organism in Eukaryota, Viridiplantae, Streptophyta, Magnoliopsida, Solanales, Solanaceae. The record is from RefSeq and is a predicted model, not a curated record.
AUACUCCAGUAUGCUAUGCUUCAUCUUUUCUUCUCCUUGUUCAUCUUCCUUCCUCUCAAAUUUUUUAUUUCUCUUUUUGUCCUUAUAUAUGUAUUAUACUGUUAUGAACCAAUUGUCCCACGUUGAAAAAAUAGAGAAAUGUUAAGGGGAUUAUAAACUAAAUGGGUUCUUCUACCUAUUAGACUAGUCUUUUGGUUAGGCUCUCUCGUUUGAUUUAUAACAUUGGUGCUCUCGUUGAGAGUCUCACGUGUUGAGCCGUGACUCGAAGUGAUGACCUACGUGCCAGCAGUGGUGGUCUGGACCCAAGAUGAGUACCAGCCGUAACCAACGAGGAUCGAUCCACGCGUGGAGCCACGACUUAGUGUGGUGGCCUGGACCUAAGAGGGAUGCUAUCCGUGACUAAUUGGGCUCAGCUAUGACCAACGAGGUCAUUGAUUCUCAAGCGAAAAUGAUUGUUAUGAAUCAAUUAUCCCAUAUUAAAGUAGUGGCUGGACCUAAGAUGGAUGCCAACUGUGACCAAUGAGGUUGUUGCUUCUCAAGCGAAAGCAUUGUUAUGAACCAAUUAUCAUAGAGAAAUGCUAGUGGAGUUAUAUACCAAAUCAGUUCUUUCACCUACUAAUUGAGUUCACGUUUGAUUUAUAACCUACAAAAUUUUUUAUUUUUUAAACUUUCAAACUAUUACUCCUUCAAUUCAUAUUUCUCUCAUUUUUUUUUUCUCAAAUAAUUUCUGGAUCUCUUUCCACUUUGUAUUUCAUGGAUGAUAUUAUUGAUGUUUUCGUUUUUUAAAUUCUAAAUUUUGAACGAAUUGAUAAUUCUGUUAGCCAGGUGCAGGUCUUUUACAAUCCUCCUUUACUAAUUGCUACUCCUUCCCUAUUCGAAGUUACAUCUAUCUCUUCGGGGAUAUAGGUCUGUAUUUCUGUUGUGAAGGAUGUUGAUCAAGUGAGUUGAAAGGGGAAGAGAGAAACAUGUUGUCGGUGCUAAGCUCUCCAAUUCUUUCUCAGCUAACGAUGUCCUGGAUUCUGAGGACAAGUUUUAUAACCAAGCAACUUUCAACUUGUCCAAAGCAUCUGGUGUAGAUAAAGUUGCAAAAUUUACACCCAAUGCAAUUGGAAAUUCGAAUUACGCUGCUGUAAAGGCUGGAUUUACCGUCCCCAAAACUGAUCAAACAACAAGAACUUCCUUCAAGGAGAGUCACAUAUUCCAUAGAUACACUGGGAUUGAAAAAAGAAUCUGCAAUUGCCAUAGAUAUUUCAAUGGAUGUCAAUGUUGUGGUGAUCUACUUGGCCAUUGUUAUUGCAGCCUCUUCAAACUGUACUAAGUCACCUCUCAUUACUUCAUCAAGACCGUGAAUACGAGCAAUGCCAUCACCUACUUGAAGUACAGGUGCCUUGACCAAUUUAAAUACAGUGGUAGCGCCAUAAUUUUGGUUAUUGGUUCUGUGAAAUCAAAUUUCUGACUUUAAGACGUAAAUCUUUAGUUUGUAAUGGUAUUUUUUACUACUUCUCAAAGAAACAAGAAACUUUUACCUUGUUUGGAAUAAAAGAUAGUAUUAAAAACACUUGAAACAACAACAUCCACUGUAAUCCAAUCAACCGGAGUCUGAAAGGGUAGGGUAGAGUGUAUGUAAACCUUUUCUCCACUUCCUUGUUAGAUAGAUACUUUCCGAUAGAACCUCCACAUUCAAAACUUUUGAAACGUGUAUAUAUUACAGGUUCCUGUAGUCCAAAUAAGAUUUUUGUUGCACUAAGUUAAAAGGUUUUCCUUGAUAGAUCAUUACAUCUCUGAAUCAGCUGAAAGGCAAAUACUUGUGCCAAAGUCCAAAUAUGCCAAAGGAUUUAAUUUAUCAGGCAAUAAAUGGUGGUCGAAACAAAAACAGGAAACAAUUGUUUUUUCGUUAAGAAUUCAAUAAGUGUCGCUCCGACUCAAAUAUGUUUCAACAGUAUGGCUCUACCCUCAAAAUUUAGGCCAGCAUUAGAGUGACUGCAUUUUUUCGUGAGCCUUGGGAGUAGGUAAAAAGAGCAGCAAGCGAUCAUUUAUUUUUAUUUUUUUUAUAAUCGUGGUUUCCGGACCAGCUUGCCCGCACCUUGACUAAUUCCACGUGGCUUCAACAAUUGCAGGAAAAACAUGUAUUCCUGAUUUAACCUUUAGUAUUAAUUGUCAAAGUCAGAGUUGUAAAGUAUCAUUAAUAAGUAUAAUCUCCUUAGUUUUGUAUGUAAAUAAUAUGCUAACUUACCUCCCCUACUUGUUGGAGUUCCUGGACCAAAAGUACUGAGAAACAUGAUCCAAAA